AGCGGAGGAGGUGAGAGGGGUCAUCAUGGCGACGAGGAGGAGCAGCAGCAGCAGGCAGCUUGGGCGGAGGCAGCCGGCGUUCAGCCGCUGGUGAUGCCGGAGGACGGGUACCAGUGGAAGAAGUACGGCCAGAAGUUCAUCAAGAACAUCCAGAAAAUCAGGAGCUACUUCCGGUGCCGCGACAGGCGGUGCGGCGCCAAGAAGAAGGUGGAGUGGCAGCCGGGCGACCCCAGCGUCCGCGUCGUCUACGACGGCGCGCACCUGCACGGCUCCCCGUCGUCAUCCAACGGCGGCGGCGGCGGCCAGGACGGCGCCGCCAACCGGUACGAUCUCAGCACCCAGUACUUCGGCGGCGCGGCUCCCACGCCGCAGACGCGGUGA
This 381-nucleotide ribosomal RNA is filed under the name Triticum aestivum (bread wheat). RNAcentral describes it as "partial small subunit ribosomal RNA". Lineage: Eukaryota; Viridiplantae; Streptophyta; Magnoliopsida; Poales; Poaceae. The record is from RNAcentral.